Molecule: ribosomal RNA, 850 nt
Filed under: uncultured archaeon
Lineage: Archaea
Description: bacterial SSU rRNA
Rfam family: Archaeal small subunit ribosomal RNA
Source: RNAcentral
GCCAAAAAUUGAUAGGACUAGUCACGCUAGUCACAGGUGUGGAAUGGAACACCUGGCGUACGGCUCAGUAACACGCAUUGAACCUACCCUAAGGACAGGGACAACCACGGGAAACUGUGCCUAAUCCCAGAUAGGAAAUUUGGCCUGGAACGGUAUCUUUCCCAAAACCGACCCGCCGUGGGAGACGGGCCUUAGGAUGGCGCUGCGGCCGAUUAUGCUUGACGGCGGUGUAAAGGACCACCGUGGCGACGAUCGGUAUGGGCGAUGGAAGUCGGAGCCCAGAGUCGGCUACUGAGACAAGGAGCCGAGCCUUACGAGGCUUAGCGGUCGCGAAAACUCGCCAAUGCACGAAAGUGUGAGUGGGCUAAUCCAAGUGUCUUUCUUACGGAAGACUGCCGCCCAGUAUUACUAGCUGGGAAAGGAAGGAGUGGGCAAGGCUGGUGCCAGCCGCCGCGGUAAAACCAGCACUUCGAGUGGUCAGGACGUAUAUUGGGUCUAAAGCGUUCGUAGCGGGGCAUGUAGGUCCUUGGUUAAACCCGGCAGCAUAACUGCUGGUCAGCUGAGGAUACCGCAAGCCUUGAGAGCGGGAUAGGACAGGGGUAGUCUAUGGGCAGGGGUGAAAUCCAGUGAUCCAUAGGCGACCACCGAUGGCGAAGGCACCUGUCUGGAACGUAUCUGACCGUGAUGGACGAAAGCCAGGGGAGCGACCCGGAUUAGAUACCCGGUUAGUCCUGGCCGUAAACGAUGCCGACUAGGUGUUACAGCGGCCAAGAGCCACUGUAGUGCCACAGUGAAGACGUUAAGUCGGCCACCUGGGGAGUACGGUCGCAAGACUGAAACUCAAAGGAAU